RNAcentral lists this ribosomal RNA (393 nucleotides) under uncultured bacterium. RNAcentral's name for it is "partial 16S ribosomal RNA". It matches the Rfam family "Bacterial small subunit ribosomal RNA", at positions 338 to 729 of the family's 1533-position model. The record is from RNAcentral.
CCUACGGGCGGCAGCAGUGAGGAAUAUUGGUCAAUGGGCGCGAGCCUGAACCAGCCAAGUAGCGUGAAGGAUGACUGCCCUACGGGUUGUAAACUUCUUUUAUCAAGGAAUAAAGUGAGGCACGUGUGCCUUUUUGUGUGUACUUUAUGAAUAAGGAUCGGCUAACUCCGUGCCAGCAGCCGCGGUAAUACGGAGGAUCCGAGCGUUAUCCGGAUUUAUUGGGUUUAAAGGGAGCGUAGACGGUUGGUUAAGUCAGUGGUAAAAUUUGGGGGUCAAACCUAGUAGUGCCAUUGAUACUGGCAGCCUUGAGUACACGAGAGGUAGGCGGAAUGCGUGGUGUAGCGGUGAAAUGCAUAGAUAUCACGAAGAACUCCGAUUGCGAAGGCAGCUUAC